This 223-nucleotide ribosomal RNA is filed under the name Campeiostachys nutans. Its description in RNAcentral is "Elymus nutans partial small subunit ribosomal RNA". It matches the Rfam family "Eukaryotic small subunit ribosomal RNA", at positions 643 to 864 of the family's 1831-position model. Lineage: Eukaryota; Viridiplantae; Streptophyta; Magnoliopsida; Poales; Poaceae. The record is from RNAcentral.
GGAUUGACGUAAUGGUCGUGCCUUAAGGGGUAUGAACUGUUGCUGUUGAUUUCUCACCUUCUGGAGAAACUUGAUGUCCUUAAUUGGGUGCCGCGGGGAACCAGGUCCUUUACUUUGAAAAAAUUAGAGUGUUUAAAGCAGGCAUUUUUGCUUGAAUACAUUAGCAUGGAAUAAUAAAAUAGGACGGCAUGGUUCUAUUUUGUUGGUUUCUAGGACCACCGUA